This 208-nucleotide non-coding RNA is filed under the name Holdemania filiformis. Its description in RNAcentral is "T-box sequence". It matches the Rfam family "T-box leader". From Rfam's summary of the family: Uncharged tRNA acts as the effector for transcription antitermination of genes in the T-box leader family. T-boxes are found upstream of many aminoacyl-tRNA synthetase genes and some amino acid biosynthetic genes usually in Gram-positive bacteria. The anticodon of a specific tRNA base pairs to a specifier sequence within the T-box motif, and the NCCA acceptor tail of the tRNA base pairs to a conserved bulge in the T-box antiterminator hairpin. Lineage: Bacteria; Bacillati; Bacillota; Erysipelotrichia; Erysipelotrichales; Erysipelotrichaceae. The record is from RNAcentral.
CCAUCUACGUUGAACGGAAGAAGUAGCGGCUUUGGGAAAUCAGAGAGCUCCCGGAGGGUGCAAGGGAGUCAGAAAAAGCAGUGAAAAGUCGUCCGGAAGUUGAUUUUCUGAAUUUAAGUAGGAAGAUCCGAAUGCCGUCGUUACCGGUGAAAGCGCAUCUUUGAAGAAAGAUGAAGUAAGGUGGUACCGCGCGUGAAGCGUCCUUGUU